AGUCUGGGCGCUAAAACGCAAACUUUUAUUUCCCCCAACAUAUUUGCCCCCAACAGUACCCUUAUCCACAUCGACGAACCCCAUAAAAUCAAGCUCCAUUUUCUUCCACCCGCAAAUCGUUGGUCACCCCUGUUUGCGACGAAUUGAUCACCAUUUUAAGGCUUCAUUGCAUAAACUCCUCUAUUGUUCUUACUAGCCCAUUUUUGAAGUCCCAUUUUCCCACACCCUUCUCCCCUUCGUUCUCGUUUCUUCAUUUUCACCUCCCUGCAAAUCCACCCAUUGGUUACCCCAAUUUGCAUGCGGCUUUCUCACUUGAUUGUCCUCCCGCGAAAGCUUGCCAUACAUUUCCUUCACCUACAAAAUCACUGCACAAUGCCUCCAUUUUCAUUUCAGAGUUAACAUUUCAGGCUUCAAGUAUUGUCGACCGAGGCUGAUUUUUAGGGAAUAUACUCCAUACAGAUUGUAGGAUGGACAUCGAGUGCUUUUGAUUUAAUGGGCAUUGGCUGAGCCCGGCAUAAUUGUUGGUGAGCCAUUUCAAUCAGGGGCGAGCUUAAACUUGUUUAGUUGGGUAUUGAAGGAAACAAUUGCAUCUACAGCUGCAAAUCCUUAUUUUUCAUUUCAAGAAUUCUCAAAACACAGAUGGAUGUUUUAUAUCUUUGUUCAAUUAAUGGAACCCUGCUUCUUGCUCUUGUUUUGCAAUAACUCUUCGUUCUAAUUGGUAACUAUUUACAAGGGAUCACUUCAUGAUCAUAUCAAUGCAUCUCCCUUCACUUGACAUGUGA
Long non-coding RNA from Carya illinoinensis, 782 nucleotides. RefSeq lists it as uncharacterized. NCBI's taxonomy places the organism in Eukaryota, Viridiplantae, Streptophyta, Magnoliopsida, Fagales, Juglandaceae. The transcript has 2 exons. The record is from RefSeq and is a predicted model, not a curated record.